GGGGGUGAUUGGCUUCGACAGGAAGAGUGAGGUCCUAGGUGCAUGCCAAGCCGAGACAACUUGUAAAACUGUUUCAAAAAAAUAGUCGCAAACGACGAAACCUACGCUGUCGCAGCUUAAAAAACUGUGUGCGAGAUCAAAGGCAUACUAAGCAUGUAGUACCGAAGAUUGAUCCUUUUUGGACGCGGGUUCAAUUCCCGCCACCUCCACCA
This 212-nucleotide transfer-messenger RNA is filed under the name Succinivibrionaceae. RNAcentral's name for it is "UBA2804 sp902782145 Standard tmRNA". It matches the Rfam family "transfer-messenger RNA". Rfam says of the family: Bacterial tmRNA, also known as 10Sa RNA or SsrA, is named for its dual tRNA and mRNA-like properties. Its role is to liberate the mRNA from a stalled ribosome. To accomplish this part of the tmRNA is used as a reading frame that ends in a translation stop signal. RNAcentral also lists the same sequence under 1 other name. Lineage: Bacteria; Pseudomonadati; Pseudomonadota; Gammaproteobacteria; Aeromonadales. The record is from RNAcentral.